Thunnus maccoyii (southern bluefin tuna) is the source of this 204-nucleotide long non-coding RNA. RefSeq lists it as uncharacterized. The transcript has 3 exons. The record is from RefSeq and is a predicted model, not a curated record. NCBI's taxonomy places the organism in Eukaryota, Metazoa, Chordata, Actinopteri, Scombriformes, Scombridae.
GGAGGAUUCUUGUGUUUUUAACUAUGAAACUGUUGGUCCUCGUUCUGUGCUUCAUAACUUUAACUUUCGCCUUUCCUGUCUCUGAGGAGGAAGACAGAGUCACACGCUCAGCGAGUUUAGAGUAUCUGUCACUCCUCUCCAUCUUUCAACCCAACCAAAUCUUGACAACACUGCUGCGACUUUUGUUGGGAGGUCUUUGAUCUG